GUAAAGUGUAUUUACUCUCUUGAAAAAGAAUGAGGUUGCUGACUGACAACAUGAUGAAAGGAAAAUUUACAGCAUUGAAGGUAGAACAGAACUUUGAAGGUGUUACUUCAUGGAAGCCUGAAGAUACAUUGAACAUUCAACAGUAAGCUUGGGUACUCCACUUUGAAAAUGUUAGAAUGCCCAUCCUAAAUGUCCUUGGAGAAGUUGGAGUCAGGUUCAAGGCAUGCAUGGCUCUCUGUUGGAAAAUUGGCAAUGUGGAGCCUUCCUCCCAGAAGACAGAAUCUGUGUUGGUUUGGGAAUCUUCUUCAUCUGUGAGACUUUCUCUUUUGCCUUGAGUAAGGGAUGGAAUUCUCCUUCCCAGUGGUUGUAAGAGAAAGUCCAGUGGGUUCCUUCACUAACUGUACCAGGUCUUUAGGUCUAGAAAUUGUGGAAAAAAGAUGAGAUCCAGAGAAAUUCAACCAUGGAAGGCUUUAUUGGAGAUUUUGCCUGAGAGGAAAGAAUAGAGCAGCAUUUCUGACUGAGAGAGUGCCAGGCUGUCCUUGGAUGAAGGGACCAGUUUUUAUUUCUGUGUAUUUGCUGUUUUUCUAGUGUCAGACUAGCUCAGACUAUUCUCUGGGUCUGUUCUUAAUCUUCCUUCAAGUUCCAUUGUUCAGUGUAGUUUCUCUUGUGCUGGACUAAUUCACAUGCAGGGUAAGCAGCAUGGAGUCAAGUCCCAGACUCUGAGAGUUGCAUGAAAGCAGGCUUGUGGCAAGAAGCUUGCAAACAUGUUUAUUGUGAGAACAGUUAUACAUUUUACAGGUUUUUUGUCCAAUCACAAUGUGCCACAGGGGAUCAGACCACCAGGUUCCUAUAACGAGUUCCCUUGCUAACAUUGAGUCAAUUUGUGGCAGUUGUGUACUUUCCUAGGUGCCCAAAGAAGAAUGGUCCUCCCCAUAAGUUUUCCUUACACACUUGAGAUGUUCACUGCUGCCAGCCAAGAAGUAGAAAUUCUCCCAACAUGUAUUUGUUGCAGGACAGUGUUAGUCUCAGACUUUUAUUGGUUUAGGGCAUAGUUUCAAAAGGUGUUUCCUUUUUUAUUUAUUUAUUUUUUAAAAUUUUUUGACCUGUGCAAACAUUACGACUUUGAGAAUCAGUCAGUCAUCUUGGAGCCUAGGCACUGCUAAAUUCCUUCUGCUGGUGAAGAAUUCUGUGCAGACAUUUUAUCCUGUCAAGAAUGAAUUGCUACAGUUUUAUAAAAAAGUAGUUGAGUAGAAGAAAAGAAAGCAUUUAAGUAACAAAUGAAGGUGGAAACUUGCUUUCAGCCUGAUGCAAUGAUGUCAUGAUAGAUUAUUUUAUCUAGCUCAUCCCUGGAGACUGUAAGAUAAGGCAUUCUGGUUUUCAUAAAUACUUGGCUUUGUUCUGUUAUUGUUGUGUUAUUUUAUUAGAGAUUGAACUUGGGGCAUUGAACCAUUGAGCAACAUCCCAGUUCUUUUUAAGUCUCUUGCAAAAUUACCCAGGCUGCCCUCAA
Sciurus carolinensis (gray squirrel) is the source of this 1507-nucleotide long non-coding RNA. RefSeq lists it as uncharacterized. NCBI's taxonomy places the organism in Eukaryota, Metazoa, Chordata, Mammalia, Rodentia, Sciuridae. The record is from RefSeq and is a predicted model, not a curated record. The transcript has 3 exons.